This is a long non-coding RNA of Bactrocera dorsalis (oriental fruit fly), 803 nucleotides long. RefSeq lists it as uncharacterized. The transcript is spliced from 3 exons. Lineage: Eukaryota; Metazoa; Arthropoda; Insecta; Diptera; Tephritidae. The record is from RefSeq and is a predicted model, not a curated record.
CUCACCAUUUUGGGUUGGUGUGGCUAUAUCGUUUGAUGAAGGAAACUCCGUAAAUUUAACUGCUCUGCUUUUAGAACAUAUGCUCGUGCAUAAAUUCAAUUUUGGUCUACAGAAUUCACCAAAUGCUUAAAGUGAAGCCUGAGCCAUCUGUGCAUUCACAAUUGUUAACAGUUUGUGUGGAAUCAUCUUAUCACACGCCCUAAUGCGUUACGGUGGCGUAUACGCGACAUGCACUCGUGAGCAAGAAAAACGCGCAGAUUGUGGAGAGAUGCCUAGCAGCUUACGUCUUUAAGUGACCGAACCGACGAAAACUUGCACCAACGGAAUAAUACCGUUUUAAAUAUUUGGAUUUGGGUACUUUUUAUUUCAAUAUUAUAUUUAAUCGUUUGUCACUGUUGCCCGUUAAAGAGGUAAUUCGCACAUCAAAGAGCCGUCAACGACUGAAGAUUUUCCACGCAGUUUGCGCUAUAAAUAUUGCAGUGCGAUUUGCGACUGAAAAGGAUGCUCGGCAGCUAAAGGAUGAUGAGCUUUUGGGAGCAUAAGAGAGCCGAAAUCGGAAAGGAGUCUUUGAAUUACCAACCAUGCGCAGUUGGGAGCGCCCAUGUACUCUUAGUUUGUACAAAGAGAAAUAAGCGAUUCCAGGAGGGACAGAACAUCUACGCUUGGCAGCUGUUAAACUAAAAAAAUCAUAAAUCACCGGCAUAAUUUAACAACAAAAUGUGAGCAACAAUAUUUACAGAUGAAAUUUUUUAAACAACGCAGGAUGUACAUUUAUUACAUUCUCGCAAUGCAUAAAAGAAGAU